UGAUCUGAAUUACGUAUCAGUGCCAUGUCCUUGCGCUGACAUGUGAAUGGCAUCAAGGAUUCAUCACCUUCAGUAGAUCUCUCGAUGAUGCCCUUGAAUGCUUUCAGGAGAUUUCUGAUCACAUGUGGGUGCGAAAUCUCUAGAUUUCUAGAAUUUAUAUUUGAUGUAAUUUUAUUUCCUUUCUGAUGCCCUCGAAUUAUGGACGGUGAUGAUGCCCUGAAGUAUGGUGCGGUGAUGGAAUGUAAUCCCUGUAAUUCUUGUUUCA
Lolium rigidum is the source of this 265-nucleotide long non-coding RNA. RefSeq lists it as uncharacterized. The record is from RefSeq and is a predicted model, not a curated record. Lineage: Eukaryota; Viridiplantae; Streptophyta; Magnoliopsida; Poales; Poaceae. The transcript has 2 exons.